RNA transcript from Esox lucius (northern pike), 2086 nucleotides. It is a transcript of the gene named kynurenine--oxoglutarate transaminase 3, with no coding region annotated. The transcript is spliced from 15 exons. NCBI's taxonomy places the organism in Eukaryota, Metazoa, Chordata, Actinopteri, Esociformes, Esocidae. The record is from RefSeq and is a predicted model, not a curated record.
CGUAAGGCUCCGCCAUCCUAUUGGUCACAACUGGGGAGGAGAUAUUGUGUUGCGAAGCAAUAGUAGUUCUGCCAAACGUGCAGUCCUUGUAUGUUCAGGUAUGAACCUUACGCAUCGAUCCAUCAGAUCUGUGUGUCAUUUCAUUAACAUCAACUGCCUUAGAAACUUUUCCUCCUCAAAGGGAAUUAUGACAUCAUCAAGGCAUACAAAUUCCAAAAGGAUUGAAGGACUGGACAAAAAUGUAUGGGUGGCCUUCACCUCGGUGGCAGCUGACCCCACCAUAGUGAACCUGGGCCAGGGAUUUCCUGACAUACCACCUCCAGCCUAUGUUAAGGAGGGCCUAGCGAAUGCUGCCGCAGUGGACAAGCUCAACCAGUACACAAGAGGCUUUGGGCACCCGGCUCUGGUUAAGGCUCUAUCUCAGGUGUAUGGGAAAGUGUAUGGACAGCAGAUCGAUCCUUUCAAGGAGAUCCUAGUCACAGUGGGGGGCUACGGGUCCUUGUUUAGCGCCAUGCAGGGUCUGGUGGAGGUGGGAGAUGAGGUGAUAAUAAUUGAACCAUUCUUCGACUGCUAUGUACCCAUGGUUCGAAUGGCAGGGGCCAAGCCAAUCUUGAUACCAUUGCGUGUCAAGUGUAAUAAGAAGACAAAUAUUGUAUCCAGUGCUGACUGGGUUCUGGACCCAGCAGAGCUUGCCAGUAAAUUCACCUCUAAGACUAAGGCCAUCAUUAUCAACACUCCCAACAAUCCUAUAGGGAAGAUAUUUACCAGAGAUGAGCUGCAGAUGAUUGCUGACCUAUGCAUCAAACACGACACUCUGUGCAUCAGUGAUGAGGUGUACGAAUGGCUCAUUUACAAGGGGCACCAACACAUUAAAAUAGCCACUCUCCCUGGCAUGUGGGACAGAACGAUCACAAUCAGCAGUGCAGGGAAGACCUUUAGUGUUACUGGAUGGAAGCUUGGCUGGUCUAUAGGACCGGAACACUUGAUAAAGCACCUCCAGACUGUAAUGCAGAACACCCUGUACACCUGUCCAACACCAUUACAGGAAGCUGUCGCCCAGGGCUUGCUGAGGGACUAUGAGCUAAUGGGUCAGCCUGACUGUUACUUCUCUUCUCUGGCUGUUGAGCUGGAGGGGAAAAGGGACCGCAUGGCUGCUAUCCUACAAGAUGUUGGCAUGUCUCCCAUCAUACCCGAGGGAGGAUACUUCAUGUGUGUGGAUGUCACUUCUCUUAAUCAGGACUUGUCUCAUAUGGGAGAUGAUGAGCCAUACGACUACAAGUUUGUCAAGUGGAUGAUUAAGGAGAAGAAACUGGCAGCUAUUCCGGUCACAGCGUUCUGUGGUGAUGCUUCAAAGAAGCAGUUUGAGAAAUACAUCCGUCUAUGCUUUAUCAAGGCUGGUUAUCUGUAAAGGCAAUUUGUGAAAAUUGCUAAUGUAAAAACUGCUUCCAAAAAUAAAUUUAAUUGAUUGAUUUGAAGGCAGUUUGUUAUGGUUGAAGAACUUCAGAAAGACAGCACUCUGGAUGCAGCAGAGGCCAUCCUGAAAAACUGGAACAGUUAAAAGGCAAUCUUUAUAUGGAGUGGUUUUGAAUCUUUGGACUUUUCUCUCUGUACAAUGACAAUGUGAUCACUUCUGGGAACACUUCAAUAACACUGGAGAAAUUGCCUUGUAGUACAGAUAUGUUGUAACAGCUAUUUGUAUUAUUUUAGACCUUGUAUGCAAUUACUUAAGAAAUAUAAGAAUACAUUUUCAUGGACAGUGAAAGUGGAGGAAAAAUGUAGAGUUUUAACAGUAGGCUGGGUCAAAACAAUUUUGCAGCAGUAGCCUACUUGUGCACCUGAUGCAGUGACUUAGAUCGUAGGCCACUUACUUUUCGAAGUAACUCAUCAGAUAUAUUGAUAUUGAUGACAGUAUGAUGUUACGCUGACACCAUAUCCAGUGGUUAAUUUGUAAAUCAGGAGGUCCUGGAACACAUUGGUGUGUUAUCCGUUGGGCAUACACGUAGUGGAACAUACACAGAUCAGCCAUAACAUUAUGACCACCUGCCUAAUAUUGUGUGGGUCCCCCUUUUGCCUGCCAAAACAGCAC